CACGUAUUUAGCCGGGGCUUCUUAGUCAAGUACCGUCAUUUCCUUCCUUGCUGAUAGAAGUUUACAUACCGAAAUACUUCAUCCUUCACGCGGCGUCGCUGCAUCAGGGUUUCCCCCAUUGUGCAAUAUUCCCUACUGCUGCCUCCCGUAGGAGUUUGGGCCGUGUCUCAGUCCCAAUGUGGCCGAUCACUCUCUCAAGUCGGCUACUGAUCGUUGCCUUGGUGGGCCGUUACCCCUCAACUAGCUAAUCAGACGCGGGUCCAUCUUGUACCACCGGAGUUUUUCACACUGUAUCAUGCGAUACUGUGCGCUUAUGCGGUAUUAGCAGUCGUUCCAACUGUUAUCCCCCUGUACAAGGCAGGUUACCCACGCGUUACUCACCCGUCCGCCACUCCAGUCACCUCAAUUGUUUCAAUCUCUAGCAAGCUAGGUCAAUCGAACGGGAGAGGUGUCUUCGUUCACUUGCAUGUAUUAAGCACGCCGCCAGCGUU
Molecule: ribosomal RNA, 491 nt
Filed under: uncultured Lachnospiraceae bacterium
Lineage: Bacteria; Bacillati; Bacillota; Clostridia; Lachnospirales; Lachnospiraceae
Description: partial 16S ribosomal RNA
Source: RNAcentral